AGUGAACGCUGGCGGUAGGCCUAACACAUGCCAGUCGAACGGCAGCACAGUAAGAGCUUGCUCUUACGGGUGGCGAGUGGCGGACGGGUGAGGAAUACAUCGGAAUCUACUUUUUCGUGGGGGAUAACGUAGGGAAACUUACGCUAAUACCUCAUACGACCUACGGGUGAAAGCAGGGGAUCUUCGGACCUUGCGCGAUUGAAUGAGCCGAUGUCGGAUUAGCUAGUUGGCGGGGUAAAGGCCCACCAAGGCGACGAUCCGUAGCUGGUCUGAGAGGAUGAUCAGCCACACUGGAACUGAGACACGGUCCAGACUCCUACGGGAGGCAGCAGUGGGGAAUAUUGGACAAUGGGCGCAAGCCUGAUCCAGCCAUACCGCGUGGGUGAAGAAGGCCUUCGGGUUGUAAAGCCCUUUUGUUGGGAAAGAAAAGCAGCAGGUUAAUACCCCGCUGUUCUGACGGUACCCAAAGAAUAAGCACCGGCUAACUUCGUG
RNAcentral lists this ribosomal RNA (492 nucleotides) under uncultured bacterium. Its description in RNAcentral is "partial 16S ribosomal RNA". It matches the Rfam family "Bacterial small subunit ribosomal RNA", at positions 29 to 507 of the family's 1533-position model. The record is from RNAcentral.